GCUGGAAUCGCUAGUAAUCGCAGAUCAGAAUGCUGCGGUGAAUACGUUCCCGGGUCUUGUACACACCGCCCGUCACACCAUGGGAGUCGGAAAUGCCCGAAGCCGGUGACCCAACCAAAAGGAGGGAGCCGUCGAAGGCAGGUCUGAUAACUGGGGUGAAGUCGUAACAAGGUAUC
RNAcentral lists this ribosomal RNA (176 nucleotides) under uncultured bacterium. RNAcentral describes it as "partial 16S ribosomal RNA". It matches the Rfam family "Bacterial small subunit ribosomal RNA", at positions 1325 to 1500 of the family's 1533-position model. The record is from RNAcentral.